UACGUAGGGUGCAAGCGUUGUCCGGAAUUAUUGGGCGUAAAGAGCUCGUAGGCGGUUCGUCGCGUCGGCUGUAAAAACCCGGAGCUCAACUCCGGGCCUGCAGUCGAUACGGGCGGACUCGAGUUCGGCAGGGGAGACUGGAAUUCCUGGUGUAGCGGUGAAAUGCGCAGAUAUCAGGAGGAACACCGGUGGCGAAGGCGGGUCUCUGGGCCGAUACUGACGCUGAGGAGCGAAAGCGUGGGGAGCGAACAGG
Molecule: ribosomal RNA, 253 nt
Filed under: uncultured bacterium
Lineage: Bacteria
Description: partial 16S ribosomal RNA
Rfam family: Bacterial small subunit ribosomal RNA
Source: RNAcentral